GGGAAUGGUCGGGAUAGCUCAGU
This 23-nucleotide transfer RNA is filed under the name Muehlenbeckia ephedroides. RNAcentral's name for it is "partial tRNA-Phe". The record is from RNAcentral. Lineage: Eukaryota; Viridiplantae; Streptophyta; Magnoliopsida; Caryophyllales; Polygonaceae.